UACGGGGGGGGCAAGCGUUGUUCGGAAUUACUGGGCGUAAAGGGCUCGUAGGCGGCCAACUAAGUCAGACGUGAAAUCCCUCGGCUUAACCGGGGAACUGCGUCUGAUACUGGAUGGCUUGAGAUUGGGAGAGGGAUGCGGAAUUCCAGGUGUAGCGGUGAAAUGCGUAGAUAUCUGGAGGAACACCGGUGGCGAAGGCGGCAUCCUGGACCAACACUGACGCUGAGGGAGCGAAAGCCAGGGGAGCAAACGGG
RNAcentral lists this ribosomal RNA (254 nucleotides) under uncultured bacterium. RNAcentral describes it as "partial 16S ribosomal RNA". It matches the Rfam family "Bacterial small subunit ribosomal RNA", at positions 524 to 776 of the family's 1533-position model. The record is from RNAcentral.